This 250-nucleotide long non-coding RNA is filed under the name Zostera marina. Its description in RNAcentral is "long non-coding RNA (ZMAR_LNC006097)". The record is from RNAcentral. Lineage: Eukaryota; Viridiplantae; Streptophyta; Magnoliopsida; Alismatales; Zosteraceae.
UACAUAAAAAGAUUAAAACCUUAAACCAACAACUUUGAUAAUUACGGUAAUACGAGGAUAACAUUUAUUAUCGUUGACAUUAUCUCAUUUAUAAAUCAUAUGAAACACGAUAAGCAAAGACACACACGUUAACGUCGAACUCGAUUUCCUCCAUAUGAGCUAUGACGAAGGAAUCUGACAUACCAAUUUACUUUCCGCCUUCUAUCACGCGUCAUCGGAGCUCCACAGUCUACGUGAUCUUCAAAUCAUA